This 512-nucleotide ribosomal RNA is filed under the name Lasiodiplodia theobromae. Its description in RNAcentral is "eukaryotic LSU rRNA". The stretch from base 177 to 330 matches the Rfam family "5.8S ribosomal RNA". The record is from RNAcentral. Lineage: Eukaryota; Fungi; Ascomycota; Dothideomycetes; Botryosphaeriales; Botryosphaeriaceae.
AACAAGGUUUCCGUAGGUGAACCUGCGGAAGGAUCAUUACCGAGUUUUCGGGCUUCGGCUCGACUCUCCCACCCUUUGUGAACGUACCUCUGUUGCUUUGGCGGCUCCGGCCGCCAAAGGACCUCCAAACUCCAGUCAGUAAACGCAGACGUCUGAUAAACAAGUUAAUAAACUAAAACUUUCAACAACGGAUCUCUUGGUUCUGGCAUCGAUGAAGAACGCAGCGAAAUGCGAUAAGUAAUGUGAAUUGCAGAAUUCAGUGAAUCAUCGAAUCUUUGAACGCACAUUGCGCCCCUUGGUAUUCCGGGGGGCAUGCCUGUUCGAGCGUCAUUACAACCCUCAAGCUCUGCUUGGAAUUGGGCACCGUCCUCACUGCGGACGCGCCUCAAAGACCUCGGCGGUGGCUGUUCAGCCCUCAAGCGUAGUAGAAUACACCUCGCUUUGGAGUGGUUGGCGUCGCCCGCCGGACGAACCUUCUGAACUUUUCUCAAGGUUGACCUCGGAUCAGUUAG